GGGAAGCCGGUCGAAGUCCGGCGCUGACCCGCAACCGUGGGCCCGUCACCGUACGGGCGAGCCGGAAUGCC
Molecule: non-coding RNA, 71 nt
Filed under: Kitasatospora albolonga
Lineage: Bacteria; Bacillati; Actinomycetota; Actinomycetes; Kitasatosporales; Streptomycetaceae
Source: RNAcentral